GACGAACGCUGGCGGCGUGCUUAACACAUGCAAGUCGAACGGUGAACGAGGGAGCUUGCUCCCUCCGGAUCAGUGGCGAACGGGAGAGUAACACGUGAGCAAUCUGCCCCGAACUCUGGGAUAAGCGUUGGAAACGACGUCUAAUACCGGAUACGACGCGGGAGGGCAUCCUCUCCGCGUGGAAAGAACUUCGGUUCGGGAUGAGCUCGCGGCCUAUCAGCUUGUUGGUGAGGUAACGGCUCACCAAGGCGACGACGGGUAGCCGGCCUGAGAGGGUGACCGGCCACACUGGGACUGAGACACGGCCCAGACUCCUACGGGAGGCAGCAGUGGGGAAUAUUGCACAAUGGGCGCAAGCCUGAUGCAGCAACGCCGCGUGAGGGACGACGGCCUUCGGGUUGUAAACCUCUUUUAGCAGGGAAGAAGCGAAAGUGACGGUACCUGCAGAAAAAGCACCGGCUAACUACGUG
This 470-nucleotide ribosomal RNA is filed under the name uncultured bacterium. RNAcentral's name for it is "partial 16S ribosomal RNA". It matches the Rfam family "Bacterial small subunit ribosomal RNA", at positions 28 to 507 of the family's 1533-position model. The record is from RNAcentral.